Molecule: transfer RNA, 72 nt
Filed under: Methanobrevibacter sp.
Lineage: Archaea; Methanobacteriati; Methanobacteriota; Methanobacteria; Methanobacteriales; Methanobacteriaceae
Description: tRNA-Gln
Rfam family: tRNA
About the family: Transfer RNA (tRNA) molecules are approximately 80 nucleotides in length. Their secondary structure includes four short double-helical elements and three loops (D, anti-codon, and T loops). Further hydrogen bonds mediate the characteristic L-shaped molecular structure. tRNAs have two regions of fundamental functional importance: the anti-codon, which is responsible for specific mRNA codon recognition, and the 3' end, to which the tRNAs corresponding amino acid is attached (by aminoacyl-tRNA synthetases). tRNAs cope with the degeneracy of the genetic code in two manners: having more than one tRNA (with a specific anti-codon) for a particular amino acid; and 'wobble' base-pairing, i.e. permitting non-standard base-pairing at the 3rd anti-codon position.
Source: RNAcentral
AGGGGUGUCGCCAAGUGGUAAGGCACAUGACUUUGACUCAUGUAUUCGCAGGUUCAAAUCCUGCCACCUCUG